UACGGAGGGGGCGAGCGUUGUCCGAAGUUACUGGGCGUAAAGCGCGUGUAGGCGGGUUGCCAAGUCCGCUGUGAAAGCCCGAGGCUCAACCUCGGAGGGUCGGUGGAUACUGGCAAUCUUGAAGGUGCUAGGGGGAGAUGGAAUUACCGGUGUAGCGGUGAAAUGCGUAGAGAUCGGUAGGAACACCAGUGGCGAAAGCGGCUUCCUGGUCCAGCACCGACGUUCAGGCACGAAAGCGUGGGGAGCAAACAGG
RNAcentral lists this ribosomal RNA (253 nucleotides) under uncultured bacterium. Its description in RNAcentral is "partial 16S ribosomal RNA". It matches the Rfam family "Bacterial small subunit ribosomal RNA", at positions 524 to 776 of the family's 1533-position model. The record is from RNAcentral.